GUGCUCCCGUCAGCAGCACAUAUAUUAAUACUGAAAGGAUACAGAGAAGAUCCAUGGCCCCUGUGCAAGAUGACCCACAAAUUGGUGAACCGUUCCAUACUUUA
Molecule: small nuclear RNA, 104 nt
Filed under: Castor canadensis (American beaver)
Lineage: Eukaryota; Metazoa; Chordata; Mammalia; Rodentia; Castoridae
Source: RNAcentral